This 29-nucleotide small RNA is filed under the name Bombyx mori (domestic silkworm). RNAcentral's name for it is "piRNA piR-bmo-2090181". Lineage: Eukaryota; Metazoa; Arthropoda; Insecta; Lepidoptera; Bombycidae. The record is from RNAcentral.
UGCAACCAGCACGGCAGGUCAACGAAGAC